UACAGGACCAUACUGGACGUGGAUAUUGAAUCAUUUGAGGAGAAGUUGUGGAGGUAUCCUGGAGUUGAUAUAACAGAUUACUUCAAUUUUGAUUUGAACGAGGACAGCUGGAAAUAGUACUGCAACUCCCUGGAACAACUUCGGCAGCUCAAGUCCAUGCAGUAUGGCAUGCCUGGCUCUUCAAAAUUUUAUCAGGCUAAAGAAGCUGGAUCCGAGUAUGGCAGAUUCACCCAGGAAAGAAAUGAAUUAUGCUGGAUCAUGGGCAUAUGCUCCUCCGUCAUCAACAGUUUCUGAUUGCAGACCAAAAGGGAAAGCAAUUCAGAUAGAAGAUAGUGUUGUUGAACACCAACCAUCUUUUGAUAGUUGGGAUCCCAUGUACAUUAGGGGCGGUGAUCUAUGAUAUCUAAUCACAGAGAUAGUGGUCUUGGGUGUUUUCCCAGAUUUUUGAAGUGGACGAAGUUACCUAAGUUAACUGGACCUGGAUUUUUGAUAGCUCCUUGUUCUCACAACAAAGACCAGAUGGCUAACUAGAUGAAUGGAUUGGUUGGGAGGUUUGGUUUUGGUUUAUGGCUUGGAAUUGAAAUUUGUCACAUCAAUCAAUCUGUCCAGUUCAAUUAUUCAAGGUGCAAUGAAGUCUUUGUUCUUGUUGGAGGGAGAUUAGAGGUACUAAUUAAUGGAUUAAGUGGGUUAUGGGUUUGGGUGCGAGCAAAUUGAAGCACGUUUGCAGGUGUGAAUGCUAGGCAAGUGUGGAAUUUACAUUUUGUGUAGGUGCGUGGUUGCGCGUGAGGUGGUUGAUGGUGACUCGUAUGGAGUGGAGGAGGUGAUCAGGGACCUCAAAUCAAUAUUGGAUCUCUUAAUCCAAAUGGUAGUGUUCCUUAUAGUGGAGGAGUUCCUCAGCAAAAUACAGGGAUUAUGCUGCAGAAAAAUGGUUUUCAGCACUAUAAUGGCUUUCAGCCAAAUGGUGGGCCUUUCUAGCGUAUGGUAAAUUUUCACAACAACCUCAAGGGCUCAAGGUUUAUCUCAAUUUCGCUGUGUACUAAUAAUACUAUUCUCACAGCAACAGAUGGGUUACUCUCCAAAUAUUGGUUAUUAUAAUAGUGUUCAAGUAAACCCAAAUAUGUGUUUGGCCCAAACCCUAGGUUACUUGACCUAGUGGUAAUAGGGUUAAAUUAGAAGGAUCUAGAUUCCUAUUCAAUGUACGAUUACUUUCCUUGUAUGAU
This is a long non-coding RNA of Rosa rugosa (rugosa rose), 1220 nucleotides long. RefSeq lists it as uncharacterized. The transcript is spliced from 4 exons. Lineage: Eukaryota; Viridiplantae; Streptophyta; Magnoliopsida; Rosales; Rosaceae. The record is from RefSeq and is a predicted model, not a curated record.